This 1520-nucleotide ribosomal RNA is filed under the name Bacillus altitudinis. RNAcentral describes it as "bacterial SSU rRNA". It matches the Rfam family "Bacterial small subunit ribosomal RNA". The record is from RNAcentral. Lineage: Bacteria; Bacillati; Bacillota; Bacilli; Caryophanales; Bacillaceae.
GGGUGCGCGGCUAUACUGCAGUCGAGCGGACCAGAAGGGAGCUUGCUCCCGGAUGUUAGCGGCGGACGGGUGAGUAACACGUGGGUAACCUGCCUGUAAGACUGGGAUAACUCCGGGAAACCGGAGCUAAUACCGGAUAGUUCCUUGAACCGCAUGGUUCAAGGAUGAAAGACGGUUUCGGCUGUCACUUACAGAUGGACCCGCGGCGACCAUUACGCUAGUUCCCCGCCUGUGGAGGUAACCGGCUGCAUCCCUAAAGGCCCGACGACUGCGUAUGCCGGGACGCUGAGAAGGGUGAUCGGUUCCACACUGAAGGAUUUGCCCCCUGGGGAUGGACACGGCCCAGACUCCUACGGGAGGCAGCAGUAGGGAAUCUUCCGCAAUGGACGAAAGUCUGACGGAGCAACGCCGCGUGAGUGAUGAAGGUUUUCGGAUCGUAAAGCUCUGUUGUUAGGGAAGAACAAGUGCAAGAGUAACUGCUUGCACCUUGACGGUACCUAACCAGAAAGCCACGGCUAACUACGUGCCAGCAGCCGCGGUAAUACGUAGGUGGCAAGCGUUGUCCGGAAUUAUUGGGCGUAAAGGGCUCGCAGGCGGUUUCUUAAGUCUGAUGUGAAAGCCCCCGGCUCAACCGGGGAGGGUCAUUGGAAACUGGGAAACUUGAGUGCAGAAGAGGAGAGUGGAAUUCCACGUGUAGCGGUGAAAUGCGUAGAGAUGUGGAGGAACACCAGUGGCGAAGGCGACUCUCUGGUCUGUAACUGACGCUGAGGAGCGAAAGCGUGGGGAGCGAACAGGAUUAGAUACCCUGGUAGUCCACGCCGUAAACGAUGAGUGCUAAGUGUUAGGGGGUUUCCGCCCCUUAGUGCUGCAGCUAACGCAUUAAGCACUCCGCCUGGGGAGUACGGUCGCAAGACUGAAACUCAAAGGAAUUGACGGGGGCCCGCACAAGCGGUGGARCCAUGUGGUUUAAUUCGAAGCAACGCGAAGAACCUUACCAGGUCUUGACAUCCUCUGACAACCCUAGAGAUAGGGCUUUCCCUUCGGGGACAGAGUGACAGGUGGUGCAUGGUUGUCGUCAGCUCCGUGUCGUGAGAUGUUGGGUUAAGUCCCGCAACGAGCGCAACCCUUGAUCUUAGUUGCCAGCAUUCAGUUGGGCACUCUAAGGUGACUGCCGGUGACAAACCGGAGGAAGGUGGGGAUGACGUCAAAUCAUCAUGCCCCUUAUGACCUGGGCUACACACGUGCUACAAUGGACAGAACGGGUGAAAGGGCUGCGAGACCGCAAUGGUGCUUUGGGAGGCCAAUCACCACGAGGUGGCCCAAUCUGUUCUCAGUUCGGAAUCCGCAGUCAUCACGCAACUCGAUCUGGUCGUGAAGCUGGAAUCGCUAGUAAUCGCGGAUCAGCAUGCCGCGGUGAAUACGUUCCCGGGCCUUGUACACACCGCCCGUCACACCACGAGAGUUUGCAACACCCGAAGUCGGUGAGGUAACCUUUAUGGAGCCAGCCGCCGAAGAGAUCC